GAUUGCCUCAGUAACGGCGAGUGAAGCGGCAAGAGCUCAAAUUUGAAAGCUGGCUCCUUCGGAGUCCGCAUUGUAAUUUGCAGAGGAUGCUUUGGGUGCGGCCCCCGUCUAAGUGCCCUGGAACGGGCCGUCAGAGAGGGUGAGAAUCCCGUCUUGGGCGGGGUGUCCGUGCCCGUGUAAAGCUCCUUCGACGAGUCGAGUUGUUUGGGAAUGCAGCUCUAAAUGGGUGGUAAAUUUCAUCUAAAGCUAAAUACUGGCCGGAGACCGAUAGCGCACAAGUAGAGUGAUCGAAAGAUGAAAAGCACUUUGAAAAGAGAGUUAAACAGCACGUGAAAUUGUUGAAAGGGAAGCGCUUGCGACCAGACUCGCCCGCGGGGUUCAGCCGGCAUUCGUGCCGGUGUACUUCCCCGUGGGCGGGCCAGCGUCGGUUUGGGCGGCCGGUCAAAGGCCCCUGGAAUGUAGUACCCUCCGGGGUACCUUAUAGCCAGGGGUGCAAUGCGGCCAGCCUGGACCGAGGAACGCGCUUCGGCACGGACGCUGGCAUAAUGGUCGUAAACGACCCGUCUUGAAACACGGACCAAGGAGUCUAACAUCUACGCGAGUGUUCGGGUGUCAAACCCGUGCGCGCAGUGAAAGCGAACGGAGGUGGGAGCCCCCUCGCGGGGCGCACCAUCGACCGAUCCUGAUGUCUUCGGAUGGAUUUGAGUAAGAGCGUAAAUGUGGGGACCCGAAAGAUGGUGAACUAUGCCUGAUUAGGGCGAAG
RNAcentral lists this ribosomal RNA (763 nucleotides) under Aspergillus costaricensis. Its description in RNAcentral is "partial large subunit ribosomal RNA". It matches the Rfam family "Eukaryotic large subunit ribosomal RNA", at positions 73 to 851 of the family's 3401-position model. Lineage: Eukaryota; Fungi; Ascomycota; Eurotiomycetes; Eurotiales; Aspergillaceae. The record is from RNAcentral.